RNAcentral lists this long non-coding RNA (519 nucleotides) under Lynx canadensis (Canada lynx). RNAcentral's name for it is "lncRNA (ENSLCNG00005011329.1)". Lineage: Eukaryota; Metazoa; Chordata; Mammalia; Carnivora; Felidae. The record is from RNAcentral.
AUGGAACUCUUCACAGUGGUCAAGAAACAAAUAAAUACCGUAUUGCCCUGGUGUACUCCAAAUAGGGCUUUUAAGAAAAGGAAUAUGGGACCAGAUGGGAAUGAGAAUGAGAAGUUGGAGAAGAGCGGCCGGGGAAAGAGUUUGAGCAAUAUACUGGACUCCUGCAAAGCCACUGCUCUCCCAGGCAAUCCUUAUUCCUUCUCCCAAAGAAGGUGGAGCUUUCCCCCAGAAAGCCCCAUAAGGCUGAAAAGAUUCAGUGGGAGUGUGCCACCAGGAAUAAAUUCAUUUUGCAACAAAACUUUUUGUCAUCAGAACUUAAAUGGAAGAUGAAUAUUGUUCUCAGAAGUGGAAGAAAGCCUUCGUAGACAAAUACAUUGAAAAGAACUGAUUUUUUUUUUGGGGCGCCUGGGUGGCGCAGUCGGUUAAGCGUCCGACUUCAGCCAGGUCACGAUCUCGCGGUCCGUGAGUUCGAGCCCCGCGUCAGGCUCUGGGCUGAUGGCUCGGAGCCUGGAGCCUGUU